RNAcentral lists this ribosomal RNA (406 nucleotides) under uncultured bacterium. Its description in RNAcentral is "partial 16S ribosomal RNA". It matches the Rfam family "Bacterial small subunit ribosomal RNA", at positions 30 to 526 of the family's 1533-position model. The record is from RNAcentral.
AUUGAACGCUGGCGGCAGGCUUAACACAUGCAAGUCGAGCGAGCGGCGGACGGGUGAGCAAUGUCUGGGAAACUGCCUGAUGGAGGGGGAUAACUACUGGAAACGGUAGCUAAUACCGCAUACCAUCAGAUGUGCCCAGAUUGGAUUAGCUAGACGGUGUGGUAAUGGCUCACCUAGGCGACGAUCCAUAGCUGGUCUGAGAGGAUGACCAGCCACACUGGGACUGAGACACGGUCAAGACUCCUACGGGAGGCAGCAGUGGGGAAUAUUGCACAAUGGUCGCAAGCCUGAUGCAGCCAUGCCGCGUGUGUGAAGAAGGCCUUCGGGUUGUAAAGCUCUUUCAGCGGGGAGGCGUUACUCGCAGAAGAAGCACCGGCUAACUCCGUGCCAGCAGCCGCGGUAAUUC